RNAcentral lists this ribosomal RNA (934 nucleotides) under uncultured bacterium. RNAcentral describes it as "bacterial SSU rRNA". It matches the Rfam family "Bacterial small subunit ribosomal RNA", at positions 8 to 977 of the family's 1533-position model. The record is from RNAcentral.
AGAGUUUGAUCAUGGCUCAGAAUCAACGCUGGCGGCGCGCCUAACACAUGCAAGUCGAACGAGAAAGUGGGGCAACCCAUGAGUACAGUGGCGUACGGGUGAGUAACACGUGGAUUAUCUACCUCUUUGUGGGGAAUAACCCUGGGAAACCGGGGCUAAUACCGCAUAAGCUCGAGAGAGGAAAGCAGCAAUGCGCUGAGAGAGGAGUCCGCGGCCGAUUAGCUAGUUGGCAGGGUAAAAGCCUACCAAGGCAAAGAUCGGUAGCCGGCCUGAGAGGGCACACGGCCACACUGGCACUGAAACACGGGCCAGACUCCUACGGGAGGCAGCAGUGGGGAAUCUUGCACAAUGGGGGAAACCCUGAUGCAGCGACGCCGCGUGAGCGAUGAAGCCCUUCGGGGUGUAAAGCUCUUUCGGCAGGGAAGAUUAUGACGGUACCUGCAGAAGCAGCUGUGGCUAACUACGUGCCAGCAGCCGCGGUAAUACGUAGGCAGCAAGCGUUGUUCGGAGUUACUGGGCGUAAAGGGUGUGUAGGCGGUUGCUUAAGUUUGGUGUGAAAUCUCCCGGCUCAACUGGGAGGGUGCGCCGAAUACUGAGUGACUAGAGUGCGGGAGAGGAAAGUGGAAUUCCUGGUGUAGCGGUGAAAUGCGUAGAUAUCAGGGGGAACACCGGUGGUGUAAACGGCUUUCUGGACCGUAACUGACGCUGAAACACGAAAGCGUGGGGAGCAAACAGGAUUAGAUACCCUGGUAGUCCACGCCCUAAACGAUGCAUAUUUGGUGUGGGUCAUUCAGUUGAUCCGUGCCGGAGCUAACGCGUUAAAUAUGCCGCCUGGGGAGUACAGUCGCAAGGCUGAACUCAAAGGAAUUGACGGGGCCCGCACAAGCGGUGGAGCAUGUGGUUCAAUUCGACGCAACGCGAAGAACCUUACCUG